Molecule: ribosomal RNA, 1370 nt
Filed under: Phloeopora testacea
Lineage: Eukaryota; Metazoa; Arthropoda; Insecta; Coleoptera; Staphylinidae
Description: 16S ribosomal RNA
Rfam family: Archaeal large subunit ribosomal RNA (bases 1077-1235)
Source: RNAcentral
CAUUAAAAAGUUGAUUGUUAAAUUCAAUUUAAUUUGAAUUUAAAAAUUUAUAUAAUAGUUAUAAACAAAGUAAUUUUUUAUUUUAGUAAUUACAAAGAAAAAAUAAGUUUUUAUAAUAGUAAAUUAGUAUAGUGAUAGAAUGUUUUAUAAUAUUAAAAAGAAAAAUUUACUUUUUGUACCUUGGGUAUCAGGGUUUAUUAAUAAAAUAGUAAAAAUUUAAUGUUCUCGAUUUUAAAAGAGUUAAUAAUUUAUUGAUUUUAUUAUUUAAUAAAUAUUUAAAAUAAGUUAUUAGUAGUGAGAUGUUAUUCGAUUUUAAAUAUAUCUAGUUUUUAAAGAGAAAAAUUUAAUUUUAUUUAUAUGAGUUUAAUUUUAAUAAAUUAAAAUUUUAAUUAAAUAUAUAAAUUAAUAAGUUAGGGAUUAGCUUAAUUUAUGGUCAAUUAAAAAUUUAUAUAAUAGAAGAAUAAUAUAUAGGAUUAGAAGUUUUCAUUAUAUAGUAUGUUAUAGUUAAUUAUUAUUUAAUAAAAAUUUAUAUAAAUUUUAAUUAUUUUAUUUAAAUGUAAAAAUUAAUUAUUAAAUUUUUAGUAAUAAUGAUGAAAUUAGUAUAAUUUUAUGUAAUAUUAAAUUUAAAAGUAAUGUUAUUUAAAGGAAUUCGGCAAAUAUAUUUUUCGCCUGUUUAAUAAAAACAUGUCUUUUUGAUUUUAAUUUAAAGUUUAACCUGCUCAAUGAUUUUAGAUUAAAUAGCUGCAGUAUACUGACUGUACAAAGGUAGCAUAAUCAUUAGUUUUUUAAUUGAAAGCUGGAAUGAAAGGUUGGACGAGAAAAUAACUGUCUCUAGUAAAAUUUAUUAGAAUUUUAUUUUUAAGUUAAAAAGCUUAAAUUGUUUUAAAAGACGAGAAGACCCUAUAGAGUUUUAUAUUAAAAUAAUUAAAUUAUUAAUUUGUUUUAUAAAAGUAUUUAAUUAUGUAAUAUUUGGUUGGGGUGAUUUUAAAAUUUAAAAAACUUUUUAUUAUUAUUAACAUUAAUAAAUGAAUUAAUUGAUCCAUAUAUUUAUGAUUAAAAGAUUAAAUUACCUUAGGGAUAACAGCGUAAUUUUUUUUUAGAGUUCUAAUCGAUAAAAAAGUUUGCGACCUCGAUGUUGGAUUAAAAUAAAUUUUUGGUGUAGGAGCUAAAAUAUUAAGUCUGUUCGACUUUUAAAAUUUUACAUGAUCUGAGUUUAAACCGGUGUGAGCCAGGUUGGUUUCUAUCUUUAAGUUAAUAUUGAUAUAUUUUAGUACGAAAGGACCAAAUAUACAAAAAAUUUUUAUUUUAAGAUGAAUAUUAGUAAUUUAAAUUUAGAAUAAAAAUUAUUUUGGCAGAAUAGUGCAUUAAAU